Symphalangus syndactylus (siamang) is the source of this 6374-nucleotide RNA transcript. It is a transcript of the gene named pyruvate dehydrogenase kinase 1, with no coding region annotated. The record is from RefSeq and is a predicted model, not a curated record. Lineage: Eukaryota; Metazoa; Chordata; Mammalia; Primates; Hylobatidae.
UCUAGCGGGACUCGGCAUGAGGCUGGCGCGGCUGCUUCGCGGAGCCGCUUUGGGCGGCCCGGGCCCGGGGCUGGGCGCCGCUGGCCCCAGCUGCAGCUUCAGCUCGGACUCGGGCUCCAGCCCGGCGUCCGAGCGCGGCGUUCCGGGCCAGGUGGACUUCUACGCGCGCUUCUCGCCGUCCCCGCUCUCCAUGAAGCAGUUCCUGGACUUCGGAUCAGUGAAUGCUUGUGAAAAGACCUCAUUUAUGUUUCUGCGGCAAGAGCUGCCUGUCAGACUGGCAAAUAUAAUGAAAGAAAUAAGUCUCCUUCCAGAUAAUCUUCUCAGGACACCAUCCGUUCAAUUGGUACAAAGCUGGUAUAUCCAGAGUCUUCAGGAGCUUCUUGAUUUUAAGGACAAAAGUGCUGAGGAUGCUAAAGCUAUUUAUGACUUUACAGAUACUGUGAUACGGAUCAGAAACCGACACAAUGAUGUCAUUCCCACAAUGGCCCAGGGUGUGAUUGAAUACAAGGAGAGCUUUGGGGUGGAUCCUGUCACCAGCCAGAAUGUUCAGUACUUUUUGGAUCGAUUCUACAUGAGUCGCAUUUCAAUUAGAAUGUUACUCAAUCAGCACUCUUUACUGUUUGGUGGAAAAGGCAAAGGAAGUCCAUCUCAUCGAAAACACAUUGGAAGCAUAAAUCCAAACUGCAAUGUAGUUGAAGUUAUUAAAGAUGGCUAUGAAAAUGCUAGGCGUCUGUGUGAUUUGUAUUAUAUUAACUCUCCCGAACUAGAACUUGAAGAACUAAAUGCAAAAUCACCAGGACAGCCAAUACAAGUGGUUUAUGUACCAUCCCAUCUCUAUCACAUGGUGUUUGAACUUUUCAAGAAUGCAAUGAGAGCCACUAUGGAACACCAUGCCAACAGAGGUGUUUAUCCCCCUAUUCAAGUUCAUGUCACGCUGGGUAAUGAGGAUUUGACUGUGAAGAUGAGUGACCGAGGAGGUGGUGUUCCUUUGAGGAAAAUUGACAGACUCUUCAACUACAUGUAUUCAACUGCACCGAGACCUCGUGUUGAGACCUCCCGCGCGGUGCCGCUGGCUGGUUUUGGUUAUGGAUUGCCCAUAUCACGUCUUUACGCACAAUACUUCCAAGGAGACCUGAAGCUGUAUUCCCUAGAGGGUUACGGGACAGAUGCAGUUAUCUACAUUAAGGCUCUGUCAACAGACUCAAUAGAAAGACUCCCAGUGUAUAACAAAGCUGCCUGGAAGCAUUACAACACCAACCACGAGGCUGAUGACUGGUGCGUCCCCAGCAGAGAACCCAAAGACAUGACGACGUUCCGCAGUGCCUAGACACACUUGGGACAUCCGGAAAAUCCAAAUGUGGCUUUUGUAUUAAAUUUGGAAGGCUAACCUCUCACACUCUUGAAGGUUAUAAGAGGGAUUGAUAGUCCAUGAUUCAGGUCUUGACAUAAAAGGCAUGAACGUCCCUCCCAAGUGACUGUGAGCUCAUUCCUUAGCCUGUGAAGCAACUCAGGGUAAGUAUAAAUUAUGGCAAGAAACUAUACUCCAUCUUUCACCUGGCAACAGGCUUAGUACAUCUGGCUUAUUUCUGAGCUGUUGUGUGCUGCCUGGAUAUUGUGAUCUCUCUUGUUUUGGACUGUAAUAACUCUGAGAGCUUUUCUUUCUCUUUGGGAACAGUUUGGUAGCAAUCAUUUAAACUAGGCACUGUAUUUAAUUUAUUGGGAACGCAAGUUGUGCCCACAGAGGAAAGGAGUGAAAAGAAGUUAAGCGAUGCUCUGAACCAGGGACAAAGUCCUUAUUAUUACAUAAUGCCACCCCAGUCCCAGUGAAGUUGAUCAUUCUGAUCACUAAUAGUGGACAUGCACAUUAUGGAGCUUAAUUUUAUUAUUUAAUUUUGAAUUUUGUUUUUGCAGUGGGGAUAGACUUGUACCAGUUAAUUGGUGUCCUCUUUUCUAAUUCCCUUGUGAGACUUGGCAUGCAGCUGAAAGGCAGUCGUUCCUAACCAUGAGAUAGAAAAUGAGUUAUCAGCACCUACAUGCAUUGAGUACCUCUCUCAGCUUCUGUCAUUCGUUGAUUCAACAGAUAUUCAUUGAGCACCCAUUAUGGGGCCAGACAUUAUUCUAAGUGCUGGGGAAACAACAGAAUGUAAAGUAGACAUGAUGUUCUAGUUGCAGAAGAUAGACAACACACAUAAUAAAUAAGUAAAUUAUACAUGUUCAGAGGUGAUUAGUAGUAUACAAAAGGAAAAUCAGGGUAAUGGGCAUGAGGAGUGUGAGUGGGCAAAGUGGGGAAUUGCAAUUUUAUUUAUUAUUAUUAUUUUUUUUUAUGGCGUCUCAGUCUGUUGCCCAGACUGGAGUGGAGUGGUACGAUCUCUGCUCACUGCAACCUCCACCUCCCAGGUUCAGGCGAUUCUCAUGCCUCAAACUCCUGAUACCUGGGACUACAGGCACCCGCCACCACACCCGGCUAAUUUUUGUAUUUUUAGUAGAGACAGGAUUUCACCAUGUUGGCCAGGCUGGUCUUGAACCACUGACCUCCAGUGAUCUGUCCACCUCGGCCUUCCAAAGUGCUGGGGAUCAAAGGCGUGAGCCACCAUGCCCAGCCAGGAAUUACAAUUUUAAAUGAGCAAGUUGAUGUAGGCCUUAUUGAAAGCUGACAUUUGAGCAAAGGCUUGAAAGUGAUAAGUCAAUUCUGCCAGUAUCUGGAAGAAGAGAUUCCAGUCAUAUAGAGACCCCAAGGUGGGACUGUGGCCAGCAUGUCUGAGGAACAACAAGGAGGCUGUGUGGCUCGAGUAGAGAGAGCAGGGGGAGAAUAGGAGAGGACAUCAGCAAAGUGAUGAAGGCUCAGAUGGUACUGGGACAUGGAAACCCCUCUCAGGGCUUUUUCUGAAGGUGAAAUGGAGAGCCCUGGAAGCCUGUGGGCAGAGGAGUGACCUGAUCUGAUAUGUGUUUCAAAGUCUGGCCACCGCAGUGAGAAUGAUCCGUAGGGAGUGUGGCGGAGAUGGCCAGCAGACUGCCAAAAUCCACCCUCCUUCCUCCACAGUGGAGAGUUGUCAGUGGAAGCAGCUGGCUAACCAGGGACCACAUUUCCUGUCCUCCUCUGCAUGCAGGUGUGGUCAUGUGACCAGAAGACAGUAGAGUGGCCAUUGGCUGAGAAAGGAAUGAAUGUGUGGUAGAGAGCUGCUUUGCAGACCUGAACCCAGCCCAGACUGUUACAUAAGAAAGGAAUAAACUUCUUGUUCUUGAAACUACUGAGAUUUGGAGGUACUUUUGUUGUGGAAAUCUAGCCUACCCUAACUAAGACAAAAGCCAAGAGUGAAAUUUAGAAGAUCAAUGGGGAGGCUGUUGCAAUAGUUUAGGUAAGAAAUGGUGGUGGCCUGGCAAAAGGCAUUAACAAUGGAGUUAGCACAAUAUAAAGAGGCUGGACCAUGAACAUAUUUUGAAGGUAGAGCCCGCAGACUUUCAUGACAAAAAAGGAAAGCUGUUUGACUUCAUGGUUUUUGUGCUGAUACCUUAUAAGGUUGAGGAAGUGAGGUGAUGGAACAGGCUUGAAAGGGUCUACUUGGAGUGAGGUUUGGGUUGUGUGCUUUUUAAAAAACUUACAAAGAGGCUAGGCAUGGUGGCUCACACCUGUAAUCCCAGCACUUUGGGAGGCCGAGGCGGGUGGAUCACGAGGUCAGGAGAUUGAGAUCAUCCUGGCUAACACAGUGAAACCCUGUCUGUACUAAAAAUACAAAAAAGUUAGCCGGACGUGGUGGUGGGUGCCUGUAGUCCCAGCCACUUGGGAGGCUGAGGCAGGAGAACGGCAUCAACCCAGGAGGCGGAGCUUGCAGUGAGCCGAGAUCGUGCCACUGCACUCCAGCCUGGGAGACAGAGCAAAACUCCGUCUAAAAAAAAAAAAAAACUUAUAAAGAAAUGAGUUUUAAUUGGCUAACAGUUCUGCAGGCUGUACAGGAAGCAUGGCACUGGCAUCUGCUCAGCUUCUGGGGAGGCCUCAGGAAGCUUCCAGUCGUGGCAGAAGGUGAAGGGGGAGCAGGCGUCUCACAUGAGCAGAACAGGAGCAAGAGUGGGAUGUGUUAAAUUUGAGAUGUUAAUUCAUCUCCAAGUGAAGAUGUUGAAUAGAUACAUGGAUAUAUACAUUUGAAGUUUAGGAAGAUGUCUUCCCAGGGAUGUUAAUUUGGAGUGAGUAAUGCAUGGAUUAUAUUUAAAAUCAUGGAAUUAGAUUGAGACUACUGUGGGGAUGAGUAAAGUUACAAAAUAGUCAAAGGAUUGAGGCCUAGAUGACUUCAUCUUUAAGAGGUUGGAAAAAUAGGGAGAAACCAGCAAAAGUGACUGAAUGGGAGCAACCAGUGAGAAAGAAUGAAAACCAAGAGAGUGGUGAGCUGGGAAACACGGACCUGUUAUACUUAGAUGUUCAGACCUCCAUGCUGCACACCAGGGCCUGCACCCCAGAGAAAGACUGGAAUGGUUCUUUGCCUUUUAGAAGCAGGAGAAAUACAUAUAAACUAGAGACAUUAUGAUGAGAACAACCCUGGAGGCAUAACAGAGGGCCAGGAAAGAGAUUUUAUAGCUGAGAAUACCCUGGCAGCAGCAGUGGUAAGUUGGGAAAUAUUUGGAUUCUAUUUUUUGAUAGGGAGGAGAGAGAUAUAUUUUUUGAGCAAUGGCGAUAAUCAUUUCUAUUUUAGAGAAGGAACUGGGCUGGGUGCAGUGGCUUAUGCCUGUAAUCCCAGCACUUUGGGAGGCCCAGACAGGUGGAUUGCUUGAGCUCAGGAGUUUGAGACCAACCUGAGCAACAUGGUGAAACCCUGUCUCUACAAAAAAUACAAAAAAUUAGCCAGGUGUGGUGGUGCAUGCCUAUGGUCCUAACUACUUGGGGGACUGAGGUGGGAAGAUUGCUUGAGCCUGGGAGGCGGAGAUUGCAGUGAGCUGAGAUCGUGCCAUUGCACUCCAGCCUGGGCAACAGAGCGAGACCCCAUCUCAAAGUAAAAUAAGAUAAAGAAUAGAGAAGGAACUAGUGACAGGAGGGGGACUAGAUUUUGGGGAGAACAUAAAAACUUUGUAGGUAUUUACAAGACCAGUAAACCAAGCUGGAGAUGAGUCAGUCCCCUUAAGUGGCCUUGGGAUCAGUGCCCCAGUGACUUUAAUCAAGCUGGGAUCAAGGGGCUGACUCUGAGUACAAACUUUCCCUCCAAACCUGGUCUUUACUUGUGUCUUCAAUCUCAGCAAGGACAUUAUUAUCUACUCAGUUGCUCAUGCCAGAAUCUGCUAGUUACUUUUAACACCUUCCUCCCCUUCACCCCAUGUCCAGUCAUUCACCAGUUGCUGAUGAUUUGGGCCUCCUAAAUAUUUCUCAAAUUUGUCUACUCCCCUCCACAGCUGAUAUGGUUUGGCUCCAUGUCCCUACCCAAAUCUCAUCUUGAAUUGUAAUCCCCACAUGUUGAGAGAGGGACCUGUAAUCCCACAUGUCAAGGGAGGGAGGUGAUGGGGCAGUUUCCUUCAUGCUGUUCUUGUGAUAGUGAAUGAGUUCUCUUGAGAUCUGAUGGUUUUAUAAGUGUUUGGAAGUUCCUGUCUUACUUCUGUCUCUCCUGCCACAUUGUAAAGAAGGUGCUUGCUUCCUCUUCACUUUCUGCCGUGAUUGUAAGUUUCCCAAGGCCUCCCCUGCCAUGUGGAACUGUGAGUCAUUUAAACCCCUUUCCUGCAUAAAUUACCCAGUCUUAGGUAUUUCUUUAUAGCAGUGUGAAAACGGACUAAUACAACUGCUUUGCUCACCUAAGCCACUCCAAUAGGUUUCUGACUGGCCUCUUCAAAACAGUCCCUGAAGCCCUGCUCUAGUCAUAGACCACAAUGGAGGCAGUGGGAGCUUUUAAAAUAGAAAUCUUGUCACCUCACUUCCAUAUUUUCCCUUUCUCCUGGAUUAAAAUCCUGAGGCUGACCUUCAAGGCUCUGCAUGUUCUGAUUUCUACAUACUUCACCAGCUGUGCACAAAGAAACAUCAUUUGCUGAAUGAAUGAAUAAACCAGUAGACUAAGACACAGCCUCACUUUGGAAAGCUGGAUUUCUCCCCUUUGGCCAAGAAUCCUACAUUGGAGCACUUGAAAAGGCAUCAGUGACACUUCAUAAUCAGCCUGCCCAUGCUUGAUGGCAACCAAUAUAGGCAUUCAGAAUUAUGUAACCUUUGGUGCAGUGGAGAGGGAUGCAUCCAGGGAUAAGUAUUCAGAUUUCCUGGCACUGGAAAUAUUCUGUGUCUUAACCUGUAUGAAGAGAACAUGAAAAUUGGUUUUAUUAUUAUUUAUGCCAUAUAUAAAUUAUGUAUUUUGGUAUCGAUGAGGAAAUAUACCAUAAAAAUAAAAAUUUUUUAAGGCUCAAAUACAAGGUAC